Molecule: ribosomal RNA, 461 nt
Filed under: Serratia marcescens
Lineage: Bacteria; Pseudomonadati; Pseudomonadota; Gammaproteobacteria; Enterobacterales; Yersiniaceae
Description: bacterial SSU rRNA
Rfam family: Bacterial small subunit ribosomal RNA
Source: RNAcentral
UUAAUUGAAGAGUUUGAUCAUGGCUCAGAUUGAACGCUGGCGGCAGGCUUAACACAUGCAAGUCGAGCGGUAGCACAGGGGAGCUUGCUCCCUGGGUGACGAGCGGCGGACGGGUGAGUAAUGUCUGGGAAACUGCCUGAUGGAGGGGGAUAACUACUGGAAACGGUAGCUAAUACCGCAUAACGUUGCAAGACCAAAGAGGGGGACCUUCGGGCCUCUUGCCAUCAGAUGUGCCCAGAUGGGAUUAGCUAGUAGGUGGGGUAAUGGCUCACCUAGGCGACGAUCCCUAGCUGGUCUGAGAGGAUGACCAGCCACACUGGAACUGAGACACGGUCCAGACUCCUACGGGAGGCAGCAGUGGGGAAUAUUGCACAAUGGGCGCAAGCCUGAUGCAGCCAUGCCGCGUGUGUGAAGAAGGCCUUCGGGUUGUAAAGCACUUUCAGCGAGGAGGAAGGUGGUGA